CCUACGGGAGGCAGCAGUGGGGGAUAUUGCACAAUGGGGGAAACCCUGAAGCAGCGACGCCGCGUGAGUGAAGAAGUAUUUCGGAAUUUAAAGCUCUAUCAGCACGGAAGAAAAUGACAGUACCUGACCCAGAAUCCACGGCUAACUCCGUGCCAGCAGCCGCGGUAAUACGUAGGGAGCAAGCGUUAUCCGGAUGUACUGGGUGUAAGGGGAGCGUAGUGGGUUGUGUAAGUCCGGAGUGAAACCCCGGGGCUCAACCCCGGGACUGCUUUGGAAACUGUGUAACUGGAGUACAGGUGGGGCAGGCGGAAUGCAUGGUGUAGCGGUGAAAUGCGUAGAUAUCAGAAGGAACACCGACGGCGAAGGCAGCCUGCUAAGCUACAUCUGACGUUGAGGCUCGAAAGCGUGGGGAGCAAACAGGAUUAGAUACCCUAGUAGUC
RNAcentral lists this ribosomal RNA (440 nucleotides) under uncultured bacterium. RNAcentral describes it as "partial 16S ribosomal RNA". It matches the Rfam family "Bacterial small subunit ribosomal RNA", at positions 338 to 795 of the family's 1533-position model. The record is from RNAcentral.